UGAGGAAUAUUGGUCAAUGGAGGAAACUCUGAACCAGCCAAGUCGCGUGAAGGAAGAAUGUCCUAAGGAUUGUAAACUUCUUUAGCGAGCGAGUAAGGACUUCCACGCGUUGGGAGUUUGAAAGUAGCUCGAGAAUAAGUAUCGGCUAACUCCGUGCCAGCAGCCGCGGUAAUACGGAGGAUACGAGCGUUAUCCGGAUUUAUUGGGUUUAAAGGGUGCGCAGGUGGUCUUGCAAGUCAGUGGUGAAAAGCUGAGGCUCAACCUCAGCCUUGCCGUUGAAACUGCAAGACUUGAGAGUACAUGAUGUGGGCGGAAUGCGUAGUGUAGCGGUGAAAUGCAUAGAUAUUACGCAGAACUCCGAUUGCGAAGGCAGCUCACAAAGGUAUUUCUGACACUGAGGCACGAAAGCGUGGGGAGCGAACAGG
Molecule: ribosomal RNA, 425 nt
Filed under: uncultured Porphyromonas sp.
Lineage: Bacteria; Pseudomonadati; Bacteroidota; Bacteroidia; Bacteroidales; Porphyromonadaceae
Description: bacterial SSU rRNA
Rfam family: Bacterial small subunit ribosomal RNA
Source: RNAcentral